CUGUGGAGGUCUCCUCUUCCUCUGAUGCACCCAGACACUCAGAGCCUCCUCUCAACACCUCAUCUGUAUCACAGAGGAUUGUUAGCCCAGAGACAGACAGUGGAUUUGGGAGCUCAUACUUGAAUCAAUCAGCCUCCGGACCGUUUCAACCAAAUCUGCUCACAGAGAGUGUGCAGUCUCAGAAUGAUGGUUUGAGUAGCUCAGACAGCGAGGGCUCCAACCUGCAGACAGCCAUUCACCCGGCCACCCAGCGGUGGGCCAGUCCCCACCCAUCUGUCCAAACACAGUGUCUUAUAGCAGUGGCUGUGGAGCGCUGGGUGGAGAGCACCACUAAAGAGCCUUCAGUCAGGCUGCAGGGUGAGCAAAUCUUAGCAUAAAGAAGUUCUAUUUUAAUUUCAUUUUAUGUGGUCAAUACGGAUAUGAUGACCUUUUCCAAACCCCUGAAUCUGAAUGAACAGGAUCUGAACACAGCCUGCCUGCCCUGCUCCAUCACCACGCAUCUGAACCCGCUCUCAGCAUCACCAUGGAUACAGAAGAGAGAGGAAGCCCACUGGACUCCUGCUCUUGUAAUAGUGAGGCGAUCCUGGCCUUGCAGUCCGAGGUAUCCCGGCUGAAGAAGGACCUGGAGGAAGGCUUGGUCCAGCUGCCUCACCUAGCACAGAAGAUGGACUAUCUCUCCUCCAAAUACAGGCAGAAUCGUCAGGAGCGCAAGUCUAAAACCAGACCCCAGACCCACCACAGACCAGCCUGCAACAGUGUGUGGAAGCCUUCAAGUAGCACACACAAUUUGAGCGAUCUCAGUUCCAGUCAGAAGAGGAUAGAGGACUGGAUCUCUUCAGACAUGGACCCCAGCAAGAGCAAAGGUACUCCAUCACCACAACACACUAAUAAGAAAAUGGCAGCAAAACACUCCAUGUCUCCAAGUGUGUCUCUGUAUAUUUCUUCCAUCGUCUGCUAUGGUUCAGAUACAGACACUGGUGACACAGCUGGCUCUGAGAUUGUGUUGCAGUGCCACAAUUCACUAGUAGGGAGCAGGAGAGGCAGCUGUAAUGUGCACUCUGCACCUGAGUUUCAAUAUAAACUUCAUGAGGCGCUGCAAUCCAACAGAGGUCAGAGCCACAGCUGUUUCUCACAGUUCAGGACAUACCGUGAUUGUUUCUGAAUAUCAUUUACACAGGAAUAUUGUAUCCAAUAUUGUGUUUUGCUCUGUCAGGGUCAGAGGGAAAUGGGAAGGCUUCUGACAGCCAUGCCAAGCAAAGACCACAAAGUAAGUUAUUUUUAUUAUGUAAUGAUAAUAACGUCAACAUGUUGGCGUCAUUGCGAUUGAUCAAAUUAUGUCCUUCUUUGUAACUUCAAAACAAAAACCAUACAUAUGUGCAGUUUUGCGUUUUAUUGGUAUACAUACUGUAGUGCUUCUCAUGUUUCCGCGGUCAGCAGCCAUCAUGGAGAGUUUUCACUCGAAGGAGAGGUGGUCUCUUCUCUCCUCUCCGUCUCUUCAGAAGCCCCUUCUCCAGGUCAGCUACGGCUCCUCCUGCAGCCUGCCUGCAAGGUAAACACAUGACACAAACGCAUCACUUACUGAAAGCAGACACAUAUUUAUCCGAGGUUUCCCACAUAAAGUUAUUCAAUUAAAUAGGUAUGUUAAAGUGGAAUCAUUCUUUCUUGCUAUCUGUCCUCAAAUCCAGCUACAAAGUGAGGGAGCCACCGCUGCACACCAUGUCCCAUCACAGAAAGCGCUCCACCCAGUCAGACACGGCACUCCUGCCCAGUAAUGUGUACUUCCAGCGGACACCGUCCCCAGCAUCAGUGCCGCCAAAGACUGGCAGCAGGACAGGCAGACGCAGAAGGAGCAAGGUGAGACGUCUCACCUCUUCACAUGCGAGUCUGCUGACUAUUCUGACACGUUAGAGAUCCUCCCUUUAUACAUGAACACCUGCUGUGUUUCUCAACAACAAAAAAGCCAACUAUUUGUCGUUGUUGUUAGUUUUUUUUGUUCAUUCUCAACUCAUUGGAGAGUUUGCUCCUGUUUUCUAGGAGGAAGAAAUGAAUAGAACUCUAGAGCAGGCUAUUGAGGUGGCCCGCAGCAUGAAGAGGACCACCGACAGAAUGGCCAUGAGACUGUCAGCUGACCUGGCUGAGGCUCAUCUCCACAGGAAACUGCGCAGCCAGCAGCCAGCAGGGGGCAGGAAACACCAUCAUAACAAGCAGAGUACAGAUCAGUUCACGCUGUAAUCAUCAAUCUGCACUAUGACACCUGAUGUAGAAUAUAUCUUUGUUGGAUUAUAAAUUAUUUAAGGACCUGUUUGUGUUAAGAUAUUGUUUUUUUCUACAUGGUUGUAUGUUUGUGUAUUUAUACAUAGAAACGUUUGAAAUCACACUGCAAAAAUAAAAGAAUAACAAUACUAACCUUUUUAAAUUGUAAGA
Molecule: long non-coding RNA, 2424 nt
Organism: Cottoperca gobio
Lineage: Eukaryota; Metazoa; Chordata; Actinopteri; Perciformes; Bovichtidae
Source: Ensembl